This 214-nucleotide ribosomal RNA is filed under the name uncultured bacterium. RNAcentral describes it as "partial 16S ribosomal RNA". It matches the Rfam family "Bacterial small subunit ribosomal RNA", at positions 568 to 774 of the family's 1533-position model. The record is from RNAcentral.
CGCGUAGGUGGUUUGAUAAGGGUGUGGUGAAAGACCCGGGGCCGUCAACCCCGGGUCCGUGCCGUGCCGACUGUCAAACUACGAGGGCGUGUAGAGGCAGACGGAAUUCCGGGUGUAGCGGUGGAAUGCGUAGAGAUCCGGAGGAAGACCGGUGGCGAAGGCGGUCUGCUGGGCAGUUUCUGACACUGAUGCGCGACAGCGUGGGGAGCAAACA